RNAcentral lists this ribosomal RNA (222 nucleotides) under uncultured bacterium. RNAcentral's name for it is "partial 16S ribosomal RNA". It matches the Rfam family "Bacterial small subunit ribosomal RNA", at positions 109 to 334 of the family's 1533-position model. The record is from RNAcentral.
AGUAAUACAUCGGAACGUGUCCUAUCGUGGGGGAUAACUGAUCGAAAGAUCAGCUAAUACCGCAUAAGACCUGAGGGUGAAAGUGGGGGAUCGCAAGACCUCACGCGAUUGGAGCGGCCGAUGCCCGAUUAGCUAGUUGGUGAGGUAAAGGCUCACCAAGGCGACGAUCGGUAGCUGGUCUGAGAGGACGACCAGCCACACUGGGACUGAGACACGGCCCAG